This 256-nucleotide ribosomal RNA is filed under the name uncultured bacterium. Its description in RNAcentral is "partial 16S ribosomal RNA". It matches the Rfam family "Bacterial small subunit ribosomal RNA", at positions 524 to 776 of the family's 1533-position model. The record is from RNAcentral.
UACGUAGGGUCCGAGCGUUGUCCGGAAUUACUGGGCGUAAAGAGCUCGUAGGUGGUUUGUCGCGUUGUUCGUGAAAACUCACAGCUUAACUGUGGGCGUGCGGGCGAUACGGGCAGACUUGAGUACUGCAGGGGAGACUGGAAUUCCUGGUGUAGCGGUGGAAUGCGCAGAUAUCAGGAGGAACACCGGUGGCGAAGGCGGGUCUCUGGGCAGUAACUGACGCUGGAGGAGCGGAAAGCCGUGGGGAGCGAACAGG